Molecule: ribosomal RNA, 709 nt
Filed under: uncultured bacterium
Lineage: Bacteria
Description: bacterial SSU rRNA
Rfam family: Bacterial small subunit ribosomal RNA
Source: RNAcentral
ACGAUGUCGAUUUGGAGGUUGUGCCCUUGAGGCGUGGCUUCCGGAGCUAACGCGUUAAAUCGACCGCCUGGGGAGUACGGCCGCAAGGUUAAAACUCAAAUGAAUUGACGGGGGCCCGCACAAGCGGUGGAGCAUGUGGUUUAAUUCGAUGCAACGCGAAGAACCUUACCUACUCUUGACAUCCAGAGAACUUUCCAGAGAUGGAUUGGUGCCUUCGGGAACUCUGAGACAGGUGCUGCAUGGCUGUCGUCAGCUCGUGUUGUGAAAUGUUGGGUUAAGUCCCGCAACGAGCGCAACCCUUAUCCUUUGUUGCCAGCGGUUCGGCCGGGAACUCAAAGGAGACUGCCAGUGAUAAACUGGAGGAAGGUGGGGAUGACGUCAAGUCAUCAUGGCCCUUACGAGUAGGGCUACACACGUGCUACAAUGGCAUAUACAAAGAGAAGCGACCUCGCGAGAGCAAGCGGACCUCAUAAAGUAUGUCGUAGUCCGGAUUGGAGUCUGCAACUCGACUCCAUGAAGUCGGAAUCGCUAGUAAUCGUAGAUCAGAAUGCUACGGUGAAUACGUUCCCGGGCCUUGUACACACCGCCCGUCACACCAUGGGAGUGGGUUGCAAAAGAAGUAGGUAGCUUAACCUUCGGGAGGGCGCUUACCACUUUGUGAUUCAUGACUGGGGUGAAGUCGUAACAAGGUAACCGUAGGGGAACCUGC